This 88-nucleotide transfer RNA is filed under the name Sphingobacteriales bacterium. RNAcentral's name for it is "tRNA-Leu". It matches the Rfam family "tRNA". Rfam says of the family: Transfer RNA (tRNA) molecules are approximately 80 nucleotides in length. Their secondary structure includes four short double-helical elements and three loops (D, anti-codon, and T loops). Lineage: Bacteria; Pseudomonadati; Bacteroidota; Sphingobacteriia; Sphingobacteriales. The record is from RNAcentral.
GCGGCGGUGGCGAAACUGGUAGACGCACUACUUUGAGGUGGUAGCGCCUGUAACGGGCGUGGGAGUUCGAAUCUCCUCUGCCGCACUA